GAUGAACGCUGGCGGCGUGCCUAAUACAUGCAAGUCGAGCGAACGGACGAGACGCUUGCUUCUCUGAUGUUAGCGGCGGACGUGUGAGUAACACGUGGAUCACCUACCUAUCAGACUGGGAUCACUUCGGGAAACCGUCGCUAAUACCGUAUAAUCUUUUGAACCGCAUGGUUCAAAAGUGAAAGACGGUCUUGCUGUAACUUCUAGAUGGAUCCGCGCUUCAUUAGCUAGUUGGUAGGGUAACGGCUUACCAAGGCAACGAUGCGUAGCCGACCUGAGAGGGUGGUCGGCCACACGGGGAGGGAGACGGGGUCCAGAGGCCUACGGUAGGCAGCAGUAGGGAAUGUGACGCAAUGGGCGAGAGCCUGGCGGAGCAACGGGGCGUGAGUGAUGAAGGUCUUCGGAGCGUGAAACUGUGUUAUGAGUGAAGAACAUAUGUGUAAGUAACUGUGCACAUCGUGACGGUACCUAAUCAGAAAGCCACGGCUAACUACGUG
RNAcentral lists this ribosomal RNA (497 nucleotides) under uncultured bacterium. RNAcentral's name for it is "partial 16S ribosomal RNA". It matches the Rfam family "Bacterial small subunit ribosomal RNA", at positions 28 to 507 of the family's 1533-position model. The record is from RNAcentral.